Molecule: long non-coding RNA, 509 nt
Organism: Bombus terrestris (buff-tailed bumblebee)
Lineage: Eukaryota; Metazoa; Arthropoda; Insecta; Hymenoptera; Apidae
Exons: 2
Source: RefSeq, a predicted model, not a curated record
AAGACGGCAACAGGAAACUGAAAACAAAGGGAAAUUUAUGACAUCAUAACAAAGUUAGGCGAAUACUUAUAAAAUACUGCACCAGACAUUGCCGAGGCAGUCAAGACGGCAACAGGAAACUGAAAAACAAAGGGAAAUUUAUGACAUCAUAACAAAUAAUUGAAUGCUAACGAAGCGGUCUUAGUAAACAAGAUAGUGGACAGACUAAUCUAUUAUACACAUAUUUUAUAAUGUUUUAUAUAUAUCUAUAUAUAUACUUACAAUUCUAGGAUAAGUAAAAAUAAUCAUGAUAAGUGUUGGAAAUGUAGCGAAGAACCAGAAGAUACCCAACGCGCUUUAUAUAAUUGUUCCAAAUAAAGUACUCGGUGGUGAAGGAUUAGAAUUGUAGAACCUGCAAAUAAUAAAGAUGCUAAUUAACAAUAUAUAGAUUAGUUCUAGAAUUACAUUAUACAGAUGUGAAACAACGACAAAGCCACAUGUUAUUAGAUUAAAACAACACACAGUAUAUA